Molecule: long non-coding RNA, 451 nt
Filed under: Marmota monax (woodchuck)
Lineage: Eukaryota; Metazoa; Chordata; Mammalia; Rodentia; Sciuridae
Source: RNAcentral
CAGACUACUGUGACAACAACUGUACACUGGCUACAUACAAGACAAAAGCUUUAGAAGACACCAAAGCAUAUGCAACACAUUCUCUAGCUAUCAAAUAAAUGCACUGGCCAACAAUGUACUCCAACUGGUGGACAUCCAGUCCUCUUACCUUCAGAAAACACAGUCUUCCAUCAAUCAUACCUCAUAGAUUGUGUAUAUUGAUAAAGAGAAAGUAUCUCAAAGAGAGAUUGGUAUUUUGACCAAAAAUAAGAAUACAUCAAGAACUCACAAAAUACUAGCACCUGCAAAUAUGGAGCACACUGUAAGAUAUAUUUGGAAAUCUAUCAACUACACAGCUCUGGAUGAUGUGGGCCAUGGUGUCAAGCAUGGAAAUAACCAGUCUGCCAGAACUGUCACACUGUUGAGAACAAAUCCUCCUACUCAGAAAUCAACAAGUCCUCCCAUGUCUCAG